RNAcentral lists this unclassified non-coding RNA (231 nucleotides) under Hevea brasiliensis (rubber tree). The record is from RNAcentral. Lineage: Eukaryota; Viridiplantae; Streptophyta; Magnoliopsida; Malpighiales; Euphorbiaceae.
UUUACUUCUUGAAUGAAUGUCACCCCCAUCAACAGAAAUAAAUUUUGGGCAUAUGGGUGAUGGUGCAGUAGUCAUUUUCCUUAAGCAAAUUGGUCUGGUGAAGAAGGGAAUAGGCAAGCGGGCAGGCAAACAGAGAGACUUUAGCAUGGCACUUCUAUUGCAUUGCUGCUUCUGAGUUGAGAGUGAGAAACUGAGGACUGGCACAAUUUUGGGAAAUUAGGGAUUUUCGGG